This 207-nucleotide ribosomal RNA is filed under the name uncultured bacterium. Its description in RNAcentral is "partial 16S ribosomal RNA". It matches the Rfam family "Bacterial small subunit ribosomal RNA", at positions 568 to 774 of the family's 1533-position model. The record is from RNAcentral.
CGCGUAGGCGGUUUGUUAAGUCGGAUGUGAAAGCCCCGGGCUCAACCUGGGAAUUGCACCCGAUACUGGCCGACUGGAGUGCGAGAGAGGGAGGUAGAAUUCCACGUGUAGCGGUGAAAUGCGUAGAUAUGUGGAGGAAUACCGGUGGCGAAAGCGGCUCUCUGGUCCGGACCUGACGCUGAGGCGCGAAAGCGUGGGGAGCAAACA